GCCGAGCUGGGUAACUUCAACUUGUAACUCAAGUGGGGGCAUGAAGGUGAUGGAACAUGGCUUAGGAUUUGCCAGGUUGGGUUGGUGGCUGCACCAUGCCGGCCUGCCCGCUCCAAGUUGAGAGUUGGGCCAAUGGGACCUAGGCGAAGGCUUGAGUCUCCUUGGUCCUAGACCUAGACUGGAGGGCACUGUGUGAGGCUGGUUUCACAGAGCAGCAAACACCUCCGGCUCUUGACAGUGAGUGGAGGGAUAACUGGCCGCUGCACUUCUAGCCCAAUAUGCCUGGUGAGCCUAGCCACUUGAACCACAACUUUU
Molecule: signal recognition particle RNA, 315 nt
Filed under: Medicago truncatula (barrel medic)
Lineage: Eukaryota; Viridiplantae; Streptophyta; Magnoliopsida; Fabales; Fabaceae
Description: Plant signal recognition particle RNA
Rfam family: Plant signal recognition particle RNA
Source: Rfam by way of RNAcentral